AACGAACGCUGGCGGCAGGCCUAACACAUGCAAGUCGAGCGCCCUCUUCGGAGGGAGCGGCGGACGGGUUAGUAACGCGUGGGAACGUGCCUCUCUCUUGGGAAUAGCCAUUGGAAACGAUGAUUAAUACCCCAUAUGACCACAGUAUCGCAUGAUACAGCGGUGAAAACUCCGGUGGUAUAGGAUGGUCUCGCGUCUGAUUAGCUAGUUGGUGGGGUAACGGCCUACCAAGGCGACGAUCAGUAGCCGGCCUGAGAGGGUGACCGGCCACACUGGAACUGAGACACGGUCCAGACUCCUACGGAGGCAGCAGUGGGGAAUAUUGCACAAUGGGCGAAAGCCUGAUGCAGCGACGCCGCGUGAACGAUGAAGGCUUUCGAGUCGUAAAGUUCUGUUCUUGGGGAAGAUAACGACGGUACCCAAGGAGAAAGCACCGGCUAAAUACGUGCCAGCAGCCGCGGUAAU
RNAcentral lists this ribosomal RNA (465 nucleotides) under uncultured bacterium. RNAcentral describes it as "bacterial SSU rRNA". It matches the Rfam family "Bacterial small subunit ribosomal RNA", at positions 29 to 524 of the family's 1533-position model. The record is from RNAcentral.